UAAGGAAUAUUGCUCAAUGGGAGAAAUCCUGAAGCAGCAACGCCGCGUGGAGGAUGAAGGGUCUCUGACUUGUAAACUCCUGUAAAGAAGGAAAAAAUUCCCAUUUGAUGGGAGAUGAUGGUACUUCUGGAGUAAGCCCCGGCUAACUACGUGGCAGCAGCCGCGGUAAUACGUAGGGGGAACGCGUUGUCCGGAUUUACUGGGUGUACAGGGUGCUCAGGCGGAUUUGUAAGUCAGAGGUGAAAUCUUACAGCUUAACUGUGAAACUGUCUUUGAUACUGCAAGCCUAGAGUAUGGAAGAGAGUGAUGGAAUAUCUGGUGUAGCAGUGAAAUGCGUAGAUAUCAGAUAGAACACCAAUGGCGAAGGCAGUCACUUGGUCCAUUACUGACGCUAAACCACGAAAGCGUGGGUAGCAAACA
This 420-nucleotide ribosomal RNA is filed under the name uncultured bacterium. RNAcentral's name for it is "bacterial SSU rRNA". It matches the Rfam family "Bacterial small subunit ribosomal RNA", at positions 355 to 774 of the family's 1533-position model. The record is from RNAcentral.